Molecule: ribosomal RNA, 455 nt
Filed under: uncultured bacterium
Lineage: Bacteria
Description: bacterial SSU rRNA
Rfam family: Bacterial small subunit ribosomal RNA
Source: RNAcentral
UACGGGAGGCAGCAGUGGGGAAUAUUGCACAAUGGGCGAAAGCCUGAUGCAGCUAUGCCGCGUGUAUGAAGAAGGCCUUAGGGUUGUAAAGUACUUUCAUCGGGGAGGAAAAAACAAAACUAAUAAUUUUAUUUCUUGACGUUACCCGAAAAAGAAGCACCGGCUAACUCCGUGCCAGCAGCCGCGGUAAUACGGAGGGUGCUAGCGUUAAUCAGAAUUACUGGGCGUAAAGAGCACGUAGGUGGUUUUUUUAAGUCAGAUGUGAAAUCCCUGGGCUUUAACCUGGAACUGCAUUUUGAAACUGAAAUACUAGAGUAUCGUAGAGGGAGGUAGAAUUCUAGGUGUAGCGGUGAAAUGCGUAGAUAUCUGGAGGAAUACCUGUGGCGAAAGCGGCCUCCUAAACGAAUACUGACACUGAGGGUGCGAAAGCGUGGGGAGCAAACAGGGAUUAGAUA